UUUCUCUGACAGGGGUUAUAUGGGGAGGUCUAUUGAUUCAAGACAAGCCAUGCUACCCCAGGUCACUACUUCUGGUUAAGUAGUUUGCCAGUAAACACACCUCAGGGAAUGCUACAGACUGACAUCUCCUGAAUGAAGAUCCCCUGCUAGCCUCAUCAAACAGCCAUCUAUUCCCGAUGUUACAGUUGUCCUUCUGGGCUCCUGACCUGCAUGAAAAGCUAUUCCUCUACAGUCUCACCAUGAUGGCCGUGAUGUGGGGCCAGUCAUCAACUGGAGAGUCACCAUUACACAGGUGUGCUGCAGAGUUCACUUCCACGGUAGCAAACACAAGGAGGACAGGUCACUUCAACUGACAUCUCCUGGAUCACACAUCAGUCUCUGAGUCAAAGAAGAGGCUGGCAGAGAGGAUUUAGUGUGCUACACAAAUGAGAAAAAUGAAG
This is a long non-coding RNA of Esox lucius (northern pike), 440 nucleotides long. RefSeq lists it as uncharacterized. The transcript has 4 exons. Lineage: Eukaryota; Metazoa; Chordata; Actinopteri; Esociformes; Esocidae. The record is from RefSeq and is a predicted model, not a curated record.